CUGUGAAAAUGAUGAAAUUAUUUUUUCCAGUUAUCCCUGUCUGAGCACUGAUGAAGAAACGUUCUGAUUCGCCA
This 74-nucleotide small nucleolar RNA is filed under the name Trachipleistophora hominis. Its description in RNAcentral is "Small nucleolar RNA R38". It matches the Rfam family "Small nucleolar RNA R38". From Rfam's summary of the family: snoR38 is a C/D box small nucleolar RNA conserved across yeast, human, Arabidopsis and rice. It is encoded in the intron of elongation factor-1 gamma in both pombe and cerevisiae. snoR38 guides the methylation of 2'-O-ribose sites in 28S rRNA. Lineage: Eukaryota; Fungi; Microsporidia; Pleistophoridae. The record is from Rfam by way of RNAcentral.